This 72-nucleotide transfer RNA is filed under the name Danionella translucida. It matches the Rfam family "tRNA". Rfam says of the family: Transfer RNA (tRNA) molecules are approximately 80 nucleotides in length. Their secondary structure includes four short double-helical elements and three loops (D, anti-codon, and T loops). RNAcentral also lists the same sequence under 1 other name. Lineage: Eukaryota; Metazoa; Chordata; Actinopteri; Cypriniformes; Danionidae. The record is from Rfam by way of RNAcentral.
GGUUCUAUGGUGUAAUGGUUAGCACGCUGGACUCUGAAUCCAGCAAUCUUAGUUCAAAUCUCGGUAGGACAU